This 30-nucleotide non-coding RNA is filed under the name Mus musculus (house mouse). Lineage: Eukaryota; Metazoa; Chordata; Mammalia; Rodentia; Muridae. The record is from RNAcentral.
UACUCCAGUUGGACUUUUUACAUGAUCGGC